GACGAACGCUGGCGGCGUGCUUAACACAUGCAAGUCGAACGGAAAGGCCCUGCUUUUGUGGGGUGCUCGAGUGGCGAACGGGUGAGUAACACGUGAGUAACCUGCCCUUGACUUUGGGAUAACUUCAGGAAACUGGGGCUAAUACCGGAUAGGAGCUCCUGCUGCAUGGUGGGGGUUGGAAAGUUUCGGCGGUUGGGGAUGGACUCGCGGCUUAUCAGCUUGUUGGUGGGGUAGUGGCUUACCAAGGCUUUGACGGGUAGCCGGCCUGAGAGGGUGACCGGCCCCAUUGGGACUGAGAUACGGCCCAGACCCCGACGGGAGGAAAGGGGGGGAAAUAUUGCAAAAGGGGCGGAAGCCUGAUGCAGCAACGCCGGGUGCGGGAUGACGGCCUUCGGGUUGUAAACCGCUUUCGCCUGUGACGAAGGGUGGGUGACGGUAAUGGGUAAAGAAGCACCGGCUAACUACGU
RNAcentral lists this ribosomal RNA (467 nucleotides) under uncultured bacterium. RNAcentral describes it as "partial 16S ribosomal RNA". It matches the Rfam family "Bacterial small subunit ribosomal RNA", at positions 28 to 506 of the family's 1533-position model. The record is from RNAcentral.